Molecule: transfer RNA, 76 nt
Filed under: Deltaproteobacteria bacterium
Lineage: Bacteria; Pseudomonadati; Myxococcota; Myxococcia
Also listed under: 1 other name
Description: tRNA-Asn
Rfam family: tRNA
About the family: Transfer RNA (tRNA) molecules are approximately 80 nucleotides in length. Their secondary structure includes four short double-helical elements and three loops (D, anti-codon, and T loops). Further hydrogen bonds mediate the characteristic L-shaped molecular structure. tRNAs have two regions of fundamental functional importance: the anti-codon, which is responsible for specific mRNA codon recognition, and the 3' end, to which the tRNAs corresponding amino acid is attached (by aminoacyl-tRNA synthetases). tRNAs cope with the degeneracy of the genetic code in two manners: having more than one tRNA (with a specific anti-codon) for a particular amino acid; and 'wobble' base-pairing, i.e. permitting non-standard base-pairing at the 3rd anti-codon position.
Source: RNAcentral
UCCCCGGUAGCUCAGCUGGCAGAGCAGGUGGCUGUUAACCACCUUGUCGGCGGUUCGAAUCCGUCCCGGGGAGCCA